CGCGUGAACGACGAAGUACUUCGGUAUGUAAAGUUCUUUUAUCAGGGAAGAAUGGCUUACGGAAAAGUGAGCGUGACGGUACCUGAUGAAUAAGCCCCGGCUAACUAUGUGCCGGCAGCCGCGGUAAUACAUAGGGGGCAAGCGUUAUCCGGAAUUAUUGGGCGUAAAGGGUGCGUAGGUGGCCGUUUAAGUCUUUGGUGUAAGUGCAAGGCUCAACCUUGUGAUGCUAAAGAAACUGAAUGGCUUGAGUGUGGUAGAGGCAAGUGGAAUUCCAUGUGUAGCGGUAAAAUGCGUAAAUAUAUGGAGGAACACCGGUGGCGAAGGCGGCUUGCUGGGCCACAACUGACACUGAGGCACGAAAGCGUGGGGAGCAAACAGGAUUAGAUACCCUGGUAGUCCACGCCGUAAACGAUGAGUACUAAGUGUAGGGGAAACUCUGUGCUGUAGUUAACGCAAUAAGUACUCCGCCUGAGUAGUACGUACGCAAGUAUGAAACUCAAAGGAAUUGACGG
This 512-nucleotide ribosomal RNA is filed under the name uncultured Acholeplasma sp. RNAcentral describes it as "bacterial SSU rRNA". It matches the Rfam family "Bacterial small subunit ribosomal RNA", at positions 398 to 916 of the family's 1533-position model. Lineage: Bacteria; Bacillati; Mycoplasmatota; Mollicutes; Acholeplasmatales; Acholeplasmataceae. The record is from RNAcentral.